UACGGAGGGUGCAAGCGUUGUCCGGAUUCAUUGGGUUUAAAGGGUGCGUAGGCGGCCUAGUAAGUCAGCGGUGAAAUCCCCCCGCCCAACGGGGGAACUGCCGUUGAUACUGCUUGGCUUGAGUUCGCCCGAGGUCGCUGGAAUGCGUGGUGUAGCGGUGAAAUGCAUAGAUAUCACGCAGAACACCAAUUGCGAAGGCAGGUGACUGGGGCUGGACUGACGCUGAGGCACGAAAGUGUGGGGAGCAAACAGGAUUAGAUACCCUGGUAGUCCACACCGUAAACGAUGGAUACUAGGUGUCCGGUCCGUAGGACUGGGUGCCCAAGGGAAACCGAUAAGUAUCCCACCUGGGGAGUACGUCCGCAAGGAUGAA
RNAcentral lists this ribosomal RNA (373 nucleotides) under uncultured bacterium. RNAcentral describes it as "bacterial SSU rRNA". It matches the Rfam family "Bacterial small subunit ribosomal RNA", at positions 524 to 898 of the family's 1533-position model. The record is from RNAcentral.